Molecule: transfer RNA, 71 nt
Filed under: Kalophrynus pleurostigma
Lineage: Eukaryota; Metazoa; Chordata; Amphibia; Anura; Microhylidae
Description: tRNA-Val
Rfam family: tRNA
About the family: Transfer RNA (tRNA) molecules are approximately 80 nucleotides in length. Their secondary structure includes four short double-helical elements and three loops (D, anti-codon, and T loops).
Source: RNAcentral
ACAAAAUGUAACUUAACCUAAAGUAUUCCGCUUACACCGUAACUAUAUCUGUUAAACCCAGAUCAUUUUGA